UUUAAGAAUUUUUUUGAUAUUUUUACUGAAAACAAGACAAAAAUACAAAGUAAGUCAUUUUUUGCAGUGUGACUUCAUUGAAUGUUCUUGUGGGAUAAAGAAAGUCUCUCUUUUUGUGUGUGUGAUGUAGUUUAAACAUGACUGGGCCAAAACAGACAUGGCAGCAGGUCAAAAUACAAGAACAUUCUGCAGAAUGCAGUGAAAAAGAAUACCCAGAGACAAGGCACGGGUGGUGGGUCACCAAAAGCUGACCUCACCCCAGCAGAGGCCAGCUUUGGAGCUAAAUAAAGGCAGGCCUGUUGGAGGGGAUCCCUGGGGGAAAAGAGACAAGCAUAGGUCCCUCCCAAGAUGCCACCCGCUUCAUACAAGUGUCUGGCAGCACUGUGUUAAAGCCACCAGAACGAGCACAAGACGAUGCUGAUCCAGCGAGUACUCCAUCAAAGGCAUACUGUAGGCCUGGCAUGUCUUGUCUACUAGCUUCAAUAUGAAUCCGAUUAAAUGUGAUAGGGUCAAGGCCCCAUUUCAUCAGCACAUUUCAUCGGCGAUGAUGAUGAGGAGACCAUCUCUCUGGAUUCCAGAAGGCAUAAGGACCCAGUGUCAUUGGUGGACUGGACUGCACACACAUAAGGAUAAAAGCCCCCUCAGGUGCCCAUGAGGCAGAUUUUGUAAAUAUGAAAUCUUUUCACAGCAUUAAUGUUCAGGUGAACAUAACUUUUUGAUAUUUUCCAUUGAACACUGGCAAAAUGGCCUGGCUCAGUCCAUGACUCCAGAAUCCU
Misgurnus anguillicaudatus (oriental weatherfish) is the source of this 776-nucleotide non-coding RNA. NCBI's taxonomy places the organism in Eukaryota, Metazoa, Chordata, Actinopteri, Cypriniformes, Cobitidae. The record is from RefSeq and is a predicted model, not a curated record.